This 665-nucleotide non-coding RNA is filed under the name Pongo abelii (Sumatran orangutan). The record is from RNAcentral. Lineage: Eukaryota; Metazoa; Chordata; Mammalia; Primates; Hominidae.
GGCAGCCGAUGGAAAAUUCAGACGGAAUUGGGACAGUAUGCAGGGUUCUCCAAGCGACAGAUUAACAGAGGCUCUUGAAGAAGAACUCUGUGUAAUCACGUGUUCUGCUCAAAAGAAGGCCUGAAUGCCCAGUGCCUUAUUUGGCUUUCAGGGGUCUUGCCGUGUCACCCAGGCUGGAGUACAGUGGUGCAAUCAUAGCUCACUGCUGCCUCAAACUCCUAGACUCAAGCAAUCCUCCUGCCUCAGCCUCCCGAGUAGCUGGGACUACAGUUUCCCCAUGUGUAUGCUGUGGUAUUGGACCAGCAACGAGAUAAGAAGAUUUCUCCCAUUUUUGAGCGUCUAUGAUGAUUCUGAGGCACAAGGUCACAUUUGACAGUACCAGGAAACCCAGGAAACAACAAGGAAACAUGACAUAGGAUGUGUCUGCUUAGGCAGACGAUCUAUUUGGACAAGAUAAUAGACCCAGGCAUGGACGUGCUCUCCAAGAAAGAUGCCCUAACAGCUGCUCAGACUGAAGCUGAAUCAAACAUUCCAAUCCUUAGAGGUUCCAGAUAAGAUCUUGAAGGCUCCCUGAGCCACUGACAUAAUGGCCAUGCCAUGCCAAUGAUCAAACACAAAUUGUGGCCUUGUUUUGGACAGAAAUAAAGAGCCCAGUUUGUCAGUGA